UACGUAGGGACCAAGCGUUGUUCGGAUUUACUGGGCGUAAAGGGCGCGUAGGCGGCUUGACAAGUCACUUGUGAAAUCUCCGGGCUUAACUCGGAACGGCCAAGUGAAACUGUCAUGCUAGAGUGCAGAAGGGGCAAUCGGAAUUCUUGGUGUAGCGGUGAAAUGCGUAGAUAUCAAGAGGAACACCUGAGGUGAAGACGGGUUGCUGGGCUGACACUGACGCUGAGGCGCGAAAGCUAGGGGAGCGAACGGG
Molecule: ribosomal RNA, 253 nt
Filed under: uncultured bacterium
Lineage: Bacteria
Description: partial 16S ribosomal RNA
Rfam family: Bacterial small subunit ribosomal RNA
Source: RNAcentral